CCUACGGGAGGCCGCAGUGGGGAAUAUUGCACAAUGGGCGCAAGCCUGAUGCAGCGACGCCGCGUGAGGGAUGACGGCCUUCGGGUUGUAAACCUCUUUCAGCAGGGAAGAAGCGAAAGUGACGGUACCUGCAGAAGAAGCGCCGGCUAACUACGUGCCAGCAGCCGCGGUAAUACGUAGGGCGCAAGCGUUGUCCGGAAUUAUUGGGCGUAAAGAGCUCGUAGGCGGCUUGUCGCGUCGGUUGUGAAAGCCCGGGGCUUAACCCCGGGUCUGCAGUCGAUACGGGCAGGCUAGAGUUCGGUAGGGGAGAUCGGAAUUCCUGGUGUAGCGGUGAAAUGCGCAGAUAUCAGGAGGAACACCGGUGGCGAAGGCGGAUCUCUGGGCCGAUACUGACGCUGAGGAGCGAAAGCGUGGGGAGCGAACAGGAUUAGAUACCCUGGUAGUCCACGCCGUAAACGGUGGGCACUAGGUGUGGGCAACAUUCCACGUUGUCCGUGCCGCAGCUAACGCAUUAAGUGCCCCGCCUGGGGAGUACGGCCGCAAGGCUAAAACUCAAAGGAAUUGACGG
RNAcentral lists this ribosomal RNA (568 nucleotides) under Streptomyces sp. XKNA21. RNAcentral describes it as "bacterial SSU rRNA". It matches the Rfam family "Bacterial small subunit ribosomal RNA", at positions 338 to 916 of the family's 1533-position model. Lineage: Bacteria; Bacillati; Actinomycetota; Actinomycetes; Kitasatosporales; Streptomycetaceae. The record is from RNAcentral.